RNAcentral lists this ribosomal RNA (27 nucleotides) under Radopholus similis. RNAcentral's name for it is "partial 28S ribosomal RNA". Lineage: Eukaryota; Metazoa; Nematoda; Chromadorea; Rhabditida; Pratylenchidae. The record is from RNAcentral.
AAUACCCGCUGAACAUUAAACAUAUAA